This 515-nucleotide ribosomal RNA is filed under the name uncultured bacterium. RNAcentral describes it as "bacterial SSU rRNA". It matches the Rfam family "Bacterial small subunit ribosomal RNA", at positions 9 to 518 of the family's 1533-position model. The record is from RNAcentral.
GAGUUUGAUCCUGGCUCAGAUUGAACGCUGGCGGCGGGCCUAACACAUGCAAGUCGAGCGGUAGAGAGAAGCUUGCUUCUCUUGAGAGCGGCGGACGGGUGAGUAAUGCCUAGGAAUCUGCCUGGUAGUGGGGGAUAACGCUCGGAAACGGACGCUAAUACCGCAUACGUCCUACGGGAGAAAGCAGGGGACCUUCGGGCCUUGCGCUAUCAGAUGAGCCUAGGUCGGAUUAGCUAGUUGGUGAGGUAAUGGCUCACCAAGGCGACGAUCCGUAACUGGUCUGAGAGGAUGAUCAGUCACACUGGAACUGAGACACGGUCCAGACUCCUACGGGAGGCAGCAGUGGGGAAUAUUGGACAAUGGGCGAAAGCCUGAUCCAGCCAUGCCGCGUGUGUGAAGAAGGUCUUCGGAUUGUAAAGCACUUUAAGUUGGGAGGAAGGGCAGUAAAUUAAUACUUUGCUGUUUUGACGUUACCGACAGAAUAAGCACCGGCUAACUACUGUGCCAGCCGCCGA